GAUGAACGCUGGCGGCGUGCCUAAUACAUGCAAGUCGAGCGAACGGACGAGAAGCUUGCUUCUCUGAUGUUAGCGGCGGACGGGUGAGUAACACGUGGAUAACCUACCUAUAAGACUGGGAUAACUUCGGGAAACCGGAGCUAAUACCGGAUGAUAUUUUGAACCGCAUGGUUCAAAAGUGAAAGACGGUCUUGCUGUCACUUAUAGAUGGAUCCGCGCUUCAUUAGCUAGUUGGUAAGGUAACGGCUUACCAAGGCAACGAUGCAUAGCCGACCUGAGAGGGUGAUCGGCCACCAUGGAACUGAGACACGGUCCAGACUCCUACGGGAGGCAGCAGUAGGGAAUCUUCCGCAAUGGGCGAAAGCCUGACGGAGCAACGCCGCGUGAGUGAUGAAGGUCUUCGGAUCGUAAAACUCUGUUAUUAGGGAAGAACAUAUGUGUAAGUAACUGUGCACAUCUUGACGGUACCUAAUCAGAAAGCCACGGCUAACUACGU
RNAcentral lists this ribosomal RNA (496 nucleotides) under uncultured bacterium. RNAcentral describes it as "partial 16S ribosomal RNA". It matches the Rfam family "Bacterial small subunit ribosomal RNA", at positions 28 to 506 of the family's 1533-position model. The record is from RNAcentral.